Molecule: non-coding RNA, 24 nt
Filed under: Cricetulus griseus (Chinese hamster)
Lineage: Eukaryota; Metazoa; Chordata; Mammalia; Rodentia; Cricetidae
Also listed under: 1 other name
Source: RNAcentral
CCACUCCCACUGCUUCACUUGACC